GCACUGGAGGACCGAACCAGGGCACGUUGAAAAGUGCUUGGAUGACUUGUGGGUAGCGGAGAAAUUCCAAACGAACUUGGAGAUAGCUGGUUCUCUCCGAAAUAGCUUUAGGGCUAGCGUCGACAUUGAGAAUCUUGGAGGUAGAGCACUGUUUGGAUGAGGGGGCCAUCUCGGUUUACUGAUUUCAGAUAAACUCCGAAUGCCAAUGAUUUAUGGUCGGCAGUCAGACUGCGAGUGCUAAGAUCCGUAGUCGAAAGGGAAACAGCCCAGACCACCAGCUAAGGUCCCAAAAUAAUUGUUAAGUGGAAAAGGAUGUGGGGUUGCACAGACAACU
RNAcentral lists this ribosomal RNA (334 nucleotides) under Streptococcus suis. RNAcentral's name for it is "partial 23S ribosomal RNA". It matches the Rfam family "Bacterial large subunit ribosomal RNA", at positions 763 to 1094 of the family's 2925-position model. Lineage: Bacteria; Bacillati; Bacillota; Bacilli; Lactobacillales; Streptococcaceae. The record is from RNAcentral.